AAAGAAUUAGUUAAAGUAUAAUUUGAGUUUGUCGAACUCAGGUUGCCUGGUAAUGGCAUUCUUUU
RNAcentral lists this transfer RNA (65 nucleotides) under Unio delphinus. RNAcentral describes it as "tRNA-Asp". Lineage: Eukaryota; Metazoa; Mollusca; Bivalvia; Unionida; Unionidae. The record is from RNAcentral.